UGCUAGUGGAGAUUGGUGGAUCCACAUAUGGAAAAGGAAUCUUCAACAGAAAAAUGAAACGCUGGUCAAAAUCUUCAACUGAUGGACUGUUAGAGGUUAACAGUUUAUUGUCCCAAUCUGUUUAGCAAUUCCUAUUUCCCCGGGAUGAGCUGCUUUCUGUUCUACCAUUCUGUUAGCAAGUCCUAUUCUUAUGGGACUAGUUGUUUUCUGUUCCUCGUCUUUGUUAUUUUGAUUGCUGCAUCUCUUUGUAAAAGGCUAUAUAAGCAUGCUGUUUGUGAUGAAUAAACAAGAGACUCAUCUCUUU
Molecule: long non-coding RNA, 304 nt
Organism: Populus euphratica (Euphrates poplar)
Lineage: Eukaryota; Viridiplantae; Streptophyta; Magnoliopsida; Malpighiales; Salicaceae
Exons: 2
Source: RefSeq, a predicted model, not a curated record